Molecule: long non-coding RNA, 1518 nt
Organism: Cygnus atratus (black swan)
Lineage: Eukaryota; Metazoa; Chordata; Aves; Anseriformes; Anatidae
Exons: 5
Source: RefSeq, a predicted model, not a curated record
AAUCACUGUGGCUAGGUUAUGAGGCUAAACAUGAGUGCUGUGAUUUUGUGUGACCAGGCCUGAAUUACUGCAGGUGGAGGAGAGCAGUUCUUAGAAAGAGAAAAUCAAAAGUUGGAAACCAAGGAAAGGUGUAAGAAUCCAUUUGUUAUUUGGAUGGUUGAUGGAGACAUAUGAACCUGAAAGAAAAUGGAGUGGACAGGGCUCUGGUGGCCACUGAGGCUCUUUGGGUUUAUCAAGAGGCUUGGUGAUUCCUGGAGCAUUGUGAGUAGCACCUUUGAGGCCUCGGAGAGUGGUUGUGCCAGUUCAUCCAUGAUGCAAUUCUAUGGAGGUCAAGUGAAACUAGAUCACAUAAAUGUUUGUACCUUAAUGCCUAAAGUUUAAAAACAGCGAAUUGUGUGAAGACAGCAGCAAAGGAAAGGCAAAACAUAUAACACAUGUGAAUGGACACAUCAGCUAUGUAUACAACUUGGAUAAUCAGGCCUUAACUUGCGCAGCAGAAUUCAUCAUCUUUGUGCCCCAUUAUGUUCCCAUGAUAACAGAGCCAUGAUAGGGAGACAUUCUUCUCAAAGAGGUUUAUAAAGUGUGUUAUUCAUUGAAUUAUUAAUGAAAACUAGAUCAUAUAAUGCUGAACUCUGCAAGGUGACAAUGGAACAAGUGUAAUCUUUUUGCAUGGAAAAUAAAAGAAGAAUUGAAUUUUAAAAAUGUUUUUCUAGUACAGAAGUGCUACUGAGUAGCUGAUGCAAUACACCAUCUUCAGUGCCUUUUAUUAAAGGACUUUGUGUAUUUUACACUAUCUGGACCCAUUACCAACCUAAUACAAGAAUCAUAUUUAUGCUCACACAUCCAUGUGAAGUAUACCUUCCUAAGGCUUGCAGCUUUUAAGCAGUUGCACUUACAAGCUUUGUGAUUUACCUUCUUUACCAAUGUAAUGUUUGAUAAGCUUGCUUCAAUGUCUGAGUUUCUCUCAUGACAUGGUUUUGGUUACUUGUGUCUGUAAUGCAGGUAGGAGAAUGAUUCAAGGAAGAAUAACAUUUCCUAUUGCAAUGCUGAAAUAAUUUAACUAUACUGAAUCAAAGACCUUAAUAAGCACUCUGUAAUGAAAUGGGCAUCUUUCAUCUCUGCUGAAGGCAUCUGGCAUUUUCCAGGCUUGACAUAAACUCUCUCUGAAGAAAAAUUUUGGCUUUUACCCCUUCUUCAGCCUACUGUGCCCGAAGUGAGCCUAUAUAGAUUCCUUCUACAGCUGUUUCACGAAAGUCCACUUUCUGGUUAUCAGAAACACUGUUUAAAUGCAGAAAACCUAGCCAAACUACAAUAUCAACAAGUUUUCUUUUUAUCUUUUGCAUCUUUUUUUUUCUUUUUUUUUUUCUUUUAUUUUUUCUGCAAUUGGCUGCACAAAGAACACCAAGACUUCUACUUGCUAAAUAAGUAUUUUUAGCCUGACGGUUGUGCAAAAUCCUUCAAAAAUGGUUUCUAAAGCAACCAAAAUCACACACAGUUGAGUUCAGUUAAAAAAAAAAA